This 1573-nucleotide long non-coding RNA is filed under the name Nicotiana benthamiana. RNAcentral's name for it is "long non-coding RNA (NBEN_LNC029045)". Lineage: Eukaryota; Viridiplantae; Streptophyta; Magnoliopsida; Solanales; Solanaceae. The record is from RNAcentral.
UCCGUUGCUGCCAUAUAUUCUGCUUCAGUCGUAGACAAAGCGACAAUCGACUGCAGAGUCGACUUCCAACUAACGACACUGCCAACGGGGGUAAAGAUGGACCUUCUCCUGUCAAGAUCUCCUGCAUAGUCAGAAUCUACAUAAUCAAGAAUUGAAAUACCUCCACUACUUUUUCGAAAAGUUAGACCAACACCAGAAGCUCCCUUGAGAAAUCUCAAUAUCCACUUGACAGCUUCCCAAUACCUCUUUUCUGACCAACACCAGAAGCUCCCUUGAGAUAUCUCAAUAUCCACUUGAUAGCUUCCCAAUGCCUCUUUCUGGGCUGGACAUGUAUCUACUUACCUCACUUACAGAUUGAACAAUAUUUGGACGUGUGCAUACCAUAGCAUACAUAACGCUACCAACUGCACUGGCAUAAGAAAUCUUUGACAUAUGCUCCACCUCAUCCUCGGACUGAGGCAUUUGUAACUCUGAAAGUUUAAAAUGAGAAUGUAAUGGUGUACUUACAGGCUUGCAAGUCUGUAUAUUGCAUCUCUUGAGAACCCUUCCAAUAUACCUCUUCUGAGAAAGAUGUACAACAUCGGAGCUAAUGCUGUACUUACAGGCUUGCACGUAUGCAUAUUGCAUCUCUCGAAAAUCCUUUCAAUAUACCUCGACUGAGAAAGAUGUACAACACCGUCUUCUCUUAAAAUCUUCGUACCAAGGAUUUUCUUUGCAGCUCCUAAAUCCUUCAUGUCAAAUUCCUUACUCAACAAUUUCUUCAAAGCAUUUAUCUAUGUAAUGUUUUUUUUUUUCUGAUGAGGUAAGGAGAAUUCAUUAAAAGCAUUCAGAUGUAGGCAAAAGAUUACAAAUAAGAGAGAUGGUGUCUGCUCAUAUCCACAAAAAAACUAUUCUAUCACUAAGGGGCAGACACAAUCGAAAAAUUGAAUAGACCUAGUUACAGGUGCCUGAUUUAGCCAACUAAACAAAUUUAAUAAGCAUUUUGAUUAGACUACAUGGGUCGGAGUUGAGAUGCCAUCAAAACAUCUACAAUUCCUUUCCUUUUAGAUGCACCAAUAGACGGCAGCAUGUACCAUUGCCCAAUUUUUUGAUGGAUUUACCUACUCUCCAUGAACACCAACAUUCAUAUGUUUCCUUGAUGCUGUUAGGCUUGACCCAGGCUAGUCCAAAAAUAUAGAGGAACAUGUCCAAAUAUCACAUGCAAAAAGAGAUGUCUAACACUUUCAGAAUCCAAAUUGCACAUGUACCAGCUAUUCGCCAUUGGUAUACUCCUUCUGCUGAGGUUUUCUUGAGUGAGGCAUGCUUCAUUUAAGGCAACCCAACUAAAACAAAUCACUUUUGGAGGCAGUUUUGUUCUCCAAAUUAGUUUCUAUGGCCAAUUGUUUAUCAGAUCAUUGUUGGAGCAUAGGUGUGCAUAUGCUUUCUUCACUGUAAAUUUCCCGUCCCCCAUUCCAGUUUAUCCUUCAGCUGGGGUUUGACAGCAAUCUAUGCUAGUUUGGCCAGCAGUUCCAUUAGGUCAUUUAUCUCCCAAUCUUGAGAAUGUCCCUGAAUUGAGGGUCCCAAGAGUUGUUCU